RNAcentral lists this ribosomal RNA (542 nucleotides) under Tetradesmus obliquus. Its description in RNAcentral is "partial large subunit ribosomal RNA". It matches the Rfam family "Eukaryotic large subunit ribosomal RNA", at positions 56 to 632 of the family's 3401-position model. The record is from RNAcentral. Lineage: Eukaryota; Viridiplantae; Chlorophyta; Chlorophyceae; Sphaeropleales; Scenedesmaceae.
GGAGACUAACAGGAUGCGCUUAGUAACGGCGAGCGAACCGCGCAAAGCCCAACUUGAAAAUCUCCCUUGGAGAAUUGUAGUCUAUAGAAGUACCCUCUGCAACGGGCGGAGCUCAAGUCUCCUGGAAAGGAGCGUCAGAGAGGGUGAGAACCCCGUAAGCUCUUGCUUUGUUGCCUCACGAGGUGCUUUCACAGAGUCGGGUUGCUUGGGAAUGCAGCCCUAAUUUGGUGGUAAAUCCCAUCUAAGGCUAAAUAUUGGCGAGAGACCGAUAGCGAACAAGUACCGUGAGGGAAAGAUGAAAAGAACUUUGAAAAGAGAGUUAAAAAGUGCUUGAAAUUGUUGAGGGGGAAGCGUUUGAAUGCUAGAGUGCGCCUAGGCUUAUGGGUUCUUAACGGAGCUCUGUAUGUGCUAGGUGCUGGCCAGCAUGGGUUGGGCGAGUGGGAUAACAGCUGGGGUUGUUACCCGGUCUAUGCCACUUGCUUGACCAAGGCGUGAAGACUGCCCUUGUCCUUCGGGAACUGCAGUCUCAAGAUGCUGCAAAG